ACCUAGUCAUCUGCUCUGAACAUGCUCUGUUCUAAUUUGAUCUCAGAAAUUAAGCAGGGUCUGGCCAAUUAAGCUCUUAGAGGGGCACUCUUUGGGUAUAGUUGAUACUAUGGGCU
This 116-nucleotide ribosomal RNA is filed under the name Phascolarctos cinereus (koala). Lineage: Eukaryota; Metazoa; Chordata; Mammalia; Diprotodontia; Phascolarctidae. The record is from RNAcentral.